AUCCCUAAUUGUUUCAUUCAAAAUUCUUAAAUUUCCUAACCAACGGUAGCUAUCAGAACGAAGUCACCUCGGGCAACCAUCAUCACAAGCGCAGCAUCACGCCGUCGUCGCCUGUUUCCAGUCAACAACAGGUGGCCAUCUUCACAUCAGGGGUUUGCGAACUCAUUUUCCUGAUAUUAUGCCUAGGAGAAAAUUAAGUGAUCUGUGGAUUAUUGGAGCUCCUCAAGAGGAGGAAGAAACAAAUAAUGAAGAGUCGAUUGGUGUUGGAUCUACAGACGUUCCGAAUACAGUUGAAGAAACUGUAGAAAUUGAAGCUGAAAAUGGUCAGAGGCGCAAGAGUAGAGGUUGUACGAUAAUGAAGGAAUUGUACCAAAUUUCUCUUGGGGACCGCAUGAGAUUUUCAAGUAACGAUGUCGAUCAACCUAUUGGGACAGAAGCAUGUAUUCUAUCAGGUUACCUAGGCAUUAUUGUAUGCAAUGCAAGUCUUCUACUGAUCCAUUAUGAGUCAUGGCGUGAGAUGCAGAAUAGUAGCAAAAACCAGGUUGUAGAUUGCUUUAAGGUAAUAAUUUCAUUGUAAUAAAUAAUUCAUUGUAGUUCAAUAGUAAUAUAUGUUUACUUUCAACACUUGUGGGAUUUAUAGGAGAAAUUUUCUUUA
This is a long non-coding RNA of Hibiscus syriacus, 655 nucleotides long. RefSeq lists it as uncharacterized. The record is from RefSeq and is a predicted model, not a curated record. The transcript has 4 exons. Lineage: Eukaryota; Viridiplantae; Streptophyta; Magnoliopsida; Malvales; Malvaceae.